RNAcentral lists this ribosomal RNA (92 nucleotides) under Pontibacter mucosus. Its description in RNAcentral is "partial 16S ribosomal RNA". It matches the Rfam family "Bacterial small subunit ribosomal RNA", at positions 1 to 89 of the family's 1533-position model. Lineage: Bacteria; Pseudomonadati; Bacteroidota; Cytophagia; Cytophagales; Hymenobacteraceae. The record is from RNAcentral.
UUACAAUGGAGAGUUUGAUCCUGGCUCAGGAUGAACGCUAGCGGCAGGCCUAAUACAUGCAAGUCGAACGAAUCUGAGGACUUCGGUUCUCA